CCUAAGGCGAGGCCGAAAGGCGUAGUCGAUGGGAAACGGGUUAAUAUUCCCGUACUUGGUGUUACUGCGAAGGGGGGACGGAGAAGGCUAUGUUGGCCGGGCGACGGUUGUCCCGGUUUAAGCGUGUAGGUGUGUGUUCCAGGUAAAUCCGGUUCACUUUAACACUGAGGCGUGACGACGAGGCACUACGGUGCUGAAGCAACAAAUGCCCUGCUUCCAGGAAAAGCCUCUAAGCAUCAGGUAACAUCAAAUCGUACCCCAAACCGACACAGGUGGUCAGGUAGAGAAUACCAAGGCGCUUGAGAGAACUCGGGUGAAGGAACUAGGCAAAAUGGUGCCGUAACUUCGGGAGAAGGCACGCUGACACGUAGGUGAAGUGAUUUACUCAUGGAGCUGAAGUCAGUCGAAGAUACCAGCUGGCUGCAACUGUUUAUUAAAAACACAGCACUGUGCAAACACGAAAGUGGACGUAUACGGUGUGACGCCUGCCCGGUGCCGGAAGGUUAAUUGAUGGGGUCAGCGCAAGCGAAGCUCCUGAUCGAAGCCCCGGUAAACGGCGGCCGUAACUAUAACGGUCCUAAGGUAGCGAAAUUCCUUGUCGGGUAAGUUCCGACCUGCACGAAUGGCGUAAUGAUGGCCAGGCUGUCUCCACCCGAGACUCAGUGAAAUUGAACUCGCUGUGAAGAUGCAGUGUACCCGCGGCAAGACGGAAAGACCCCGUGAACCUUUACUAUAGCUUGACACUGAACAUUGAGCCUUGAUGUGUAGGAUAGGUGGGAGGCUUUGAAGUGUGGACGCCAGUCUGCAUGGAGCCGACCUUGAAAUACCACCCUUUAAUGUUUGAUGUUCUAACGUGGACCCGUUACCCGGGUUGCGGACAGUGUCUGGUGGGUAGUUUGACUGGGGCGGUCUCCUCCUAAAGAGUAACGGAGGAGCACGAAGGUUGGCUAAUCCUGGUCGGACAUCAGGAGGUUAGUGCAAUGGCAUAAGCCAGCUUGACUGCGAGCGUGACGGCGCGAGCAGGUGCGAAAGCAGGUCAUAGUGAUCCGGUGGUUCUGAAUGGAAGGGCCAUCGCUCAACGGAUAAAAGGUACUCCGGGGAUAACAGGCUGAUACCGCCCAAGAGUUCAUAUCGACGGCGGUGUUUGGCACCUCGAUGUCGGCUCAUCACAUCCUGGGGCUGAAGUAGGUCCCAAGGGUAUGGCUGUUCGCCAUUUAAAGUGGUACGCGAGCUGGGUUUAGAACGUCGUGAGACAGUUCGGUCCCUAUCUGCCGUGGGCGCUGGAGAACUGAGGGGGGCUGCUCCUAGUACGAGAGGACCGGAGUGGACGCAUCACUGGUGUUCGGGUUGUCAUGCCAAUGGCACUGCCCGGUAGCUAAAUGCGGAAGAGAUAAGUGCUGAAAGCAUCUAAGCACGAAACUUGCCCCGA
This 1429-nucleotide ribosomal RNA is filed under the name Salmonella enterica. Its description in RNAcentral is "partial 23S ribosomal RNA". It matches the Rfam family "Bacterial large subunit ribosomal RNA", at positions 1390 to 2802 of the family's 2925-position model. The record is from RNAcentral. Lineage: Bacteria; Pseudomonadati; Pseudomonadota; Gammaproteobacteria; Enterobacterales; Enterobacteriaceae.